GCCUGUGAGACAAAACGGCCUCCGGAGCCGUGUGCGCAGGUUCGAAUCCUGCCGGGGGCA
RNAcentral lists this transfer RNA (60 nucleotides) under Streptomyces werraensis. RNAcentral's name for it is "tRNA-Ser". It matches the Rfam family "tRNA". From Rfam's summary of the family: Transfer RNA (tRNA) molecules are approximately 80 nucleotides in length. Their secondary structure includes four short double-helical elements and three loops (D, anti-codon, and T loops). RNAcentral also lists the same sequence under 1 other name. Lineage: Bacteria; Bacillati; Actinomycetota; Actinomycetes; Kitasatosporales; Streptomycetaceae. The record is from RNAcentral.